UUCAUUCAGAGUAAAUACGACGACGAAGCCAUCACUGCAGCGCUCGUUUUAUUUCUUUAAUCUUUUUAUACUUCUUUUCGGGUGCAUCGGCUGUUUAUACAGACAGAGUGUCAGUGUUUGUGAUGGAGGGAGAUUCAGUCACUCUACACACUGAUGUUAAAACAAACCAACAAGAAAAGAUUAAAUGGUAUUUUAA
Long non-coding RNA from Rhinichthys klamathensis goyatoka, 196 nucleotides. RefSeq lists it as uncharacterized. The record is from RefSeq and is a predicted model, not a curated record. Lineage: Eukaryota; Metazoa; Chordata; Actinopteri; Cypriniformes; Leuciscidae. The transcript is spliced from 2 exons.